UACGAAGGGGGCUAGCGUUGCUCGGAAUCACUGGGCGUAAAGCGCAUGUAGGCGGACUCUUAAGUCGGUGGUGAAAUCCUGGAGCUCAACUCCAGAACUGCCUUCGAUACUGAGAGUCUCGAGUCCGGGAGAGGUGAGUGGAACUGCGAGUGUAGAGGUGAAAUUCGUAGAUAUUCGCAAGAACACCAGUGGCGAAGGCGGCUCACUGGCCCGGUACUGACGCUGAGGUGCGAAAGCGUGGGAGCAAACAGG
RNAcentral lists this ribosomal RNA (252 nucleotides) under uncultured bacterium. RNAcentral describes it as "partial 16S ribosomal RNA". It matches the Rfam family "Bacterial small subunit ribosomal RNA", at positions 524 to 776 of the family's 1533-position model. The record is from RNAcentral.